This 1589-nucleotide unclassified non-coding RNA is filed under the name Camponotus floridanus (Florida carpenter ant). RNAcentral's name for it is "palmitoyltransferase ZDHHC2, transcript variant X3". Lineage: Eukaryota; Metazoa; Arthropoda; Insecta; Hymenoptera; Formicidae. The record is from RNAcentral.
CGUCACAAGAUGGCGCGGAGUAACUCCUUUUUGUUUAUGGGGUAGCGAGAAACGGUGUUAUUUACAUACGCGUCCAACGUAUAUACAUCAAAUACACACAUAUAUAUACCUGUCCAUGGUUACGGCAACUGUCAAGCGCGACAGGCGUAAAACGGAUCGACGUCGGAAGUGAAACGAUGCGUGCGGUGUGCAAAGCAGCACCGGGUCCAAAAUAAGAUUAUACGAGCGUCUUUGAUACUGCGUUGGGAACGCUACGAUAAGCAACACGAUUGGCUUGCGCAAUGACAGUCUUCGGCAGUCUUCGCGUUUUGGCACUCGUCUUCCUAGUCGCGGGGUCCUCGUAAGGGGAUUUUCGCCUUGAGAGAAAGUUAUCUCUCCCUUUUUUUUUUCCGCGAUACUGCGAUGCCGUUGUGUCCCAGCGGCGCGAAGAAUAAUGCGUUGUUAUUGAUGACGGUCGGAAGGCACGUAUCCUCGUGCAUCCCAUCGACCCGGUGAACAGAAAUGGGCAAGCAAAACGGCUCGUGCUGGUGGUGCGUGAAGGCCGUCAAGUGGAUACCAGUGAUAUUCAUUCUGACGAUCGUCGCGUGGUCCUAUUAUGCUUACGUCGUGCAAUUGUGCUACUAUACAAUAGACAACUAUGUUCAAAAAGCUUUCUAUCUGCUUUUCUUCCACCUCCUAAUUCUGAUGUUUUUAUGGUCAUACUGGCAGACAGUGUAUACAAAUUUAAUGCCAGUGCCAGAUAAGUUUAAAAUACCUGAUGUCGAAAUGGAAAAAUUACAGCAAGCUGAGACAGAAGAAGCGCAGAGACAAAUUUUGGAAAGAUUUGCACAAGAUCUUCCUGUUACUAAUCGCACUAUAAAAGGAGCUAUGAGAUUCUGUGAGAAAUGUCAGUUAAUAAAGCCUGAUAGAGCACACCAUUGCAGUGUAUGCAGCACUUGCGUCCUAAAAAUGGAUCAUCAUUGUCCAUGGGUAAACAAUUGUGUAGGCUUCCACAACUAUAAAUUUUUUAUGCUGUUUCUAGCAUAUGCACUUCUCUACUGUAUGUUUAUUACCGCCACAUCUUUACAAUACUUUAUACGAUUUUGGAAAGGAGAAUUAGAUGGAAUGGGUAGAUUUCAUCUACUAUUCCUUUUUUUUGUUGCCUUGAUGUUCGCAGUCAGUCUUAAUUCUCUUUUCUUCUAUCAUUGCUAUCUUGUUGUGCAUAAUAGGUCAACACUAGAGGCCUUCAGAACACCUAUGUUUCGAACAGGGAAAGACAAGGAUGGAUUUAGUUUGGGAAAAUAUAAUAAUUUUCAGGAGGUAUUUGGUGACAAUCCAAGGCUCUGGUUUCUCCCCAUAUUUAGUAGUAUACUGCCUAUGAUAAUCUUUAAAAAAACAACUAUGCAGUUUAAACUGGCAUACUUAAACGAAAUUUGAAAUGCGGUAACAUAUAAGUACUGCAGGGCCUUGAGUAAAGUUCUGGGAAAUGGUGUCGUCUAUCCAGUAAGAUCGCAACACCAGGGCACACCCAAUACUUAUGACUCCAUGGGCAGUACUCAGAACAGCUUUGGAGAUGGGGUAAACUUUCCCGAGCGGCUGUGCAAUGAGGA